CUCUCGAACCUUCAAGAACAGCUUCUCACCUCUGGCUGUGCAUUAGAGUGAGCCAGAGAACUUUAAAACUUACCCAUACUAGAGUCCAAUGCAGCCAAGUUAAAUCAGUGGCUCUGAGUAGGGGGCCUGGGCAUUUACUUCACUUUUUUUCUUUUUUUUUUUUAAAGCUCCCAGUGAUGCUGAUGUGCAGCCAGAUUUGGGAACCACUCCUCUAGAGUGUUCUAGAUGGCAAGCAGGCCUAAUCUAUCAGAGAGCAAAGAGGAGAUGGAAGCUGGUUUGGAAAUGGCAUCUGUUGAAACGAAUGUCAGCCUGCAAGGAAUUAUACUGCCUGAAGAGGAAUUUAAAUGUCCUGAGCCUGUGCAAGUAUCCGAAGUGACGGAAUGCGAAAGAAAUGGAACCCAUCAGUUUUAGCUGAGUACCAGACUGCCCAGCCAACAGUGGCAUUUUCCAGGUUCCCGUGCAGGUAGGUGUUGCCAUGUAUGUGACUUCUGGGUAUUCCCUUGAAAGGAUGGGGCAUGCCAUCCACUUUUCCUUUUUAUCUUCAUCCUGUGGAGGGAUGACAGGAACUAGUAAUUUUAGAUCUGAGAUAGAAACCUUAGGCUCAAGAUGGCAGAACAAGACAAGACAGAAGGAGCAUGGGUCCCCAAUAAGAUAGCAUGGCCAUAUUAGUCCUGAAGUGUUUAUGCUGGACGGUUGUGUGAGAGGAAAUACACUUCACGCUACUGUUUUGGCCUUAUUAUUGAAGCCAAAUCUGUUUUCUUACAGAAUAACCAAAUCUUAUCAAUGCAAGCUGCUUCAAAUUGCCAAUUCCAAUGUCCAUUUCUCAGCCCCUACUCUUCUAGAUUUCUCUGCAGCACCGGGCACUGUAGAUGCCCUUUCUUUCUGAAGCUUUCUCCUCCUUCUGCUCCCCUGCUAUUGCACAAGCCUGAUUCCCUCCCCACCCCUCUGAUUGUUCUUUCUUUGUGGAUCUCAGCAGCUUCCCACUCUCCCUCUGUCCUUUAACUGUGGCCCUUCUCCAUUGAUUUUUCCCCUCCUUUAGUAAGCUGAUUCCAGCUCAUAAUUUCAACCCUUUCUUCAGACCUUACUAGCACUGCCUGGGUCUGCCUCCUGGACAGGUGCAGAUACUGAGCACAUAGCAGUAUGGUGGGAUGGUUAAGAGCACAGACUCU
This is a long non-coding RNA of Leopardus geoffroyi (Geoffroy's cat), 1169 nucleotides long. RefSeq lists it as uncharacterized. The record is from RefSeq and is a predicted model, not a curated record. The transcript has 3 exons. Lineage: Eukaryota; Metazoa; Chordata; Mammalia; Carnivora; Felidae.